UAUCGUCACUUUGCGCCAGUGCCUUCUUGACUUUUAGGUUUUGGCCAUCUUAGGUUUCCCCUUUUACAAGUUGACACAACUUACUUCUCUUCAAAACAAACCUGCGCACCAUCAAGAUCUGCCUUCUCCCCCAUCUUCUCUCUGGUCUCUCACACCUCCGGUCGACGGAGGAGGGAUUGCAGCGCCGGUAUACUCGGUCAGGCGAGACGCACACACCCCCAACACUCUUCUCCUUCCUAUGACACCCCCACCGCCUUCGUUUUCCUCUCUCUCGCACACUGUUUUCGGCCGGAGAGCGGCAGAGCGGACGGUGCUCCGGCAAUGGCGUAGCGGCGAUGGUGAAUUUGACGGUGGUUCAGUGACGGAGACCCUCCAAAUCGACCCUUCUGAACCUACUUCUGGUAGUCGCUGAAGGUAACAUGGCUCAAGUCAACAAACUCAGGUCGCCAAUUGGCUUCUUUCCGAUUUAACCACCAUCCUCAUCGGAUGAACCGACGGUAGCCACCCUCGACAACUUAGGUAAUAUAAUAUAAUCUAAUAGUCCAUUUGAUUAUGUUGAGACGGAGGCUCGAACAGAGAACUGUAUGAUGUACUUCAUGUGUCUCCUGAAGCUUCCAAUGAAGAAAUCCGUAAAGCUUAUCAUCAGUGGGCGCAAAUUUAUCAUCCUGAUAAGUAUCAGGAUCAACAGAUGAAGGAAGAUGAAGGAUGUAGGUACAGAGAACUUUCAGAGGAUAUAUGAAGCAUAUGAGAUAUUAACCGAAGAAUAUAAACGACAGAUAUAUGACAUGUAUGGUAUGGAAGGGUUAACCUCUGGUUUAGAACUUGGUCCAAAGUUGAACAAAGCGGAAGAACUUGAAAGAUUAAAACGCAAAAGAGAAGAAAAAAAAGCGGCCCAUUUUCAACCUUCUGGUGUAAUUCUUGCACAACCAUCAGUUCCAAGCUUUCUAUCCGGGCAUGGUAUAAUGAGAGCGUAUGACUCCUAAUUCUCGACUAAAUUUAAUUUUCAGGUUAAACUGACAAGUAUCUACAUUGACAUUGAUAUAGCUUCACUCCGGUGGUCACUGACGAACGACGGCGGUGGUAAAUCCGCUCGAAUCAACCACGACGUCCAUGAUUAGGGACGUAAUGUAUUAUGCAGCAUAAUAAAUUAAAGCAUACUUCAUCAGCCGCAACGCGGCGGGAUCAUCCUAGUUUCCUAAUAAAAGCAUUCACAUACCAUUCCUCUCUAUUUAAAAAAAUAGGCUAACACUGUGUUCCAGAGUUUACUAACGGAAGGAAAGGAAAGGAAACAGAAAGAAAGUAAAAAUAUUUUGUGUUCCAGAGUUUCAUUUAAGGAAGGAAAAGAAAGGAAAAUAAAAUAUGUCGUGUUCUCGAGUUUCAUUUAAGGAAGGAAAAGAAAGGAAAUGACAGGAAAACUAGGCUAAAUUCUUUAAUUUUUCUUUCCUUCCGAUUUGGGAGGAAGCGGUGGGAAAGUCAUCUUUUUUCUUCUUUCUCAUCAUUUCCUUUCUCACUUUUGCUUUCUUUUCUUAUCCCUCGUUAAGUUAACUCGGGAACAGAGCGUAAAAGUACGUUUUGCUGUUAAAUUUAUUUAUUUUUCAAAAACCUCCCACAUUCAAAUUUUCAUCUCUAUCUUACUCAAUACACCUUUUUGUUACCUCGUGUUUUUGUACAGUUAUAAUAAAAUAUAGAGUUUAAUAAAAUCCACUAAAUAUAGAAAUAUUAAAAAAAAAUCCAAUAUAGUGAUGUUUAUGUUGUUUCCUCUAUUUCUUAGGGCAUGUUUGGCUAAGCUUUUUGAAACAACUUAUUGACUUAUUGGUUUUUUGGAAAAGUCAGUAUGGAGUAGAGAUGGGCAUAAUACCCGGUUCCAAACCCGGACCCAUAGAACCGACCCGGAACCGGUUCCAAACAGUAAUAUUCAGCUUUUGGUUUGAAAGUACCCGACAGAAUCGGUUCCUGUCAGUACCCGGAAUACCCGGUUCCAAACUGUACCCGAACCUGGUUCGAAAAUACCCGUAACCGGUUACAUCGGUUCCGUUUUUUUAUACUUAUACCCGGGUUCAACCCGGACCGGUUCCUUAGUGUACCCGGUUUCGCUCAGUAACGUCAGUACCCGGGUACGGGUAGUACCCGGUUCCGGGUAUUCAGAAUACCCGAUUAUGCCCAUCUUUAGUAUGGAGUGACUUAGUGACUUAUUAGCAUUUUCCCCUCACAUACACUCUCAUUGCCAAACAUCAUUUUGGAGCUUAUGACUUUUCAAAAAGUCAAUAAAUUAUUUCAAAAAACUUAGCCAAACAUGCCCUUACUCUGUAUUAAUAUUAGUUAGGUAUAUAGGCCUUAAUGUAAUGCUCUUAUAUAUAAACCAGUAGAGCCAUAAAUACUAAAUGUAAAAAGAAGUGUUCUCGCUGUAGAACACCCUCCCCAUUAUAUAUUAUAUAAUUAUAUAACUGUUAUGAAUGCAUCAUAAUGUGGUGACUUUCCACAAAUAUGUAACCUCCAUAUAUUUAUUACCUUUGUAUUAAUGUUAAGCCUCUAUAAAUAGAGGUCUCAUGUAAUUGGUAUUAUAGAUCUCAAUGAAUACGAAUUCCAUAUUC
Long non-coding RNA from Helianthus annuus (common sunflower), 2591 nucleotides. RefSeq lists it as uncharacterized. Lineage: Eukaryota; Viridiplantae; Streptophyta; Magnoliopsida; Asterales; Asteraceae. The record is from RefSeq and is a predicted model, not a curated record. The transcript is spliced from 4 exons.